GUGAGGAAUAUUGGGCAAUGGGCGAAAGCCUGACCCAGCCACGCCGCGUGAGUGAUGAAGGCCUUCGGGUUGUAAAGCUCUGUGGGGAGGGAAGAAAAAGCGGGAGAGUAACUGCUCUCGUGUUGACGGUACCUCCUUAGCAAGCACCGGCUAACUCUGUGCCAGCAGCCGCGGUAAUACAGAGGGUGCAAACGUUGCUCGGAAUUACUGGGCGUAAAGCGCGUGUAGGCUGACAUGCAAGUCGGGUGUGAAAUCCCAGGGCUCAACCUUGGAACUGCACUCGAAACUGCACGUCUUGAGUACUGGAGAGGGAAGCGGAAUUCCGGGUGUAGAGGUGAAAUUCGUAGAUAUCCGGAGGAACACCAGUGGCGAAGGCGGCUUCCUGGACAGUAACUGACGCUGAGGUGCGAAAGCAUGGGGAGCAAACAGGAUUAGAAACCCCAGUAGUCC
RNAcentral lists this ribosomal RNA (450 nucleotides) under uncultured bacterium. Its description in RNAcentral is "partial 16S ribosomal RNA". It matches the Rfam family "Bacterial small subunit ribosomal RNA", at positions 354 to 796 of the family's 1533-position model. The record is from RNAcentral.